CGGCGGCUGUCAGUCAGACGAGACGUCAGGUGGCUGGGCUACCCGCGGCUCUCGCUGCCUCUGCUUUUGGCUUGGCAGGCUGUGACUGUUCCGGACGGCAGCUCGUCUCUGUGGAUUGUUGUGGCUGUGUUCCGUCGUCCUCUCCGGUGGUGGUUGGUGUGGUGUUGCCGGGCCUGGGACGUGGAGCUGUGUGUGAGAAGCGCCAUCCCGGGGAGAGGAGAGUGUGUCAGAAGGAUGGUGUGGCCGGUGUAGCUCGGUGUGGGGCUUCAUUGAGCGCUCCCCUCAUCUCUCGUCUCACCUGACCCCCCCUCCCCCUCAUUGUUGUCAGGGUGAGGAGAGGCGCCUGGGCACAGCUGUCCUCUCUGUCCUCCUUCUCCUCCUCUCUAUCAUCCUCCUCCAUGCUCCUGUAGUUCCCCUGUGUGUGUAUGUCCUUCCUGGGAGGCUGGCCUGUAGCUGCUCUCUCCCAGGCUAGAGGAGGAUGUGGGAUGGAAGGGCCAGGCUGUCAUUUACUUGCUGAAUCGUGGGUGAGAUCAGGCUGGGGGGGUCAGAGCAGACAGCAGCAGUGUGUCCCUGGAAGCAGCCCAUGUCCCUGGGGGAGGAGGAUGAUGGACUUCUAGUAUUGAUUUAGGACACUGUGGUGUUUGGGGGGUGGGGGGGUUGGGUAGAAUCCUGUGCGCCGGAUACUUUUUAUUUUUUUAUUUUUGUUACGUUCUAAUAUUUGGAUGGUGUUGUCACCGGAUUUGUGUAGGAUGGUGGCCUCCUCGGAGCGUAUGGCCCAGUGACCACACAUCCAGCGAUCGCUUCCGGAGGGCAUUUUCUGUGAAUGUCUCUUUGCGGCGCGGCUGCCAAUGCAAAAAUGAUGGCGGCGUACAACGGGGGCGCGUCAGCGGCGGCUGGGGCUCAUCACCAUCAUCACCACCACCACCACCUGGCCCACCUGCCCCCUCACCUGCACCAUCAUCACCACCUCCAUCCCCAGCAUCACCUGCACCCCGGUUCCGCUGCCGCUGUGCAUCCCGUGCAGCAGCACAUCGCCUCUUCCUCCGCCUCAUCGGCCGCUGCCGCAGCUGCUGCAGCGGCGGCCAUGCUCAACCCCGGCCAGGCCCAGCCGUACUUUCCAUCGCCCGCCCCGGGACAGGCGCCGGGGCCGGCGGCAGCCGUGGCUCCUGCUCAGGUGCAGGCGGCGGCGGUGAAGGCUCAUCAUCAUCAUCAUCAGCAUGCUCAUCAUGCCCAACAACUGGAUAUCGAACCUGAUCGGCCCAUCGGAUACGGAGCGUUCGGUGUUGUCUGGUCAGUAACAGAUCCACGGGAUGGAAAGAGAGUUGCUCUCAAAAAGAUGCCCAACGUCUUCCAGAAUCUAGUCUCUUGCAAAAGGGUCUUCCGAGAAUUGAAGAUGUUGUGUUUUUUUAAGCAUGACAACGUACUCUCUGCACUUGACAUUCUCCAGCCACCUCACAUCGAUUAUUUUGAAGAAAUAUAUGUUGUCACAGAGUUAAUGCAGAGUGACCUCCAUAAGAUCAUCGUCUCUCCUCAGCCUCUCAGUUCGGACCAUGUCAAAGUUUUUUUGUAUCAGAUUUUAAGAGGUCUGAAGUAUUUACAUUCGGCCGGUAUUUUGCAUCGAGACAUUAAACCAGGGAAUCUGCUCGUGAACAGCAACUGUGUGCUUAAGAUUUGUGACUUUGGAUUGGCAAGGGUGGAAGAACUUGAUGAAUCUCGUCAUAUGACUCAGGAAGUUGUCACUCAGUAUUAUCGGGCUCCUGAAAUCCUAAUGGGGAGCCGUCAUUACACUAAUGCUAUAGACAUCUGGUCUGUAGGAUGUAUCUUUGCAGAGCUGCUUGGACGAAGAAUAUUAUUUCAGGCACAAAGUCCAAUACAACAGUUGGACUUGAUCACGGAUUUGUUGGGAACACCGUCACUUGAAGCAAUGAGGACGGCUUGUGAAGGCGCCAAGGCACAUAUACUCAGGGGUCCUCAUAAACAGCCAUCUCUUCCUGUCCUGUACACACUGUCCAGCCAGGCCACUCAUGAAGCUGUUCAUCUACUUUGCAGGAUGUUAGUCUUUGAUCCAUCUAAAAGGAUAUCUUCUAAAGAUGCCUUGGCUCACCCAUACCUGGAUGAAGGUCGUCUACGAUAUCACACCUGUAUGUGCAAAUGUUGUUUCUCCACAUCUACGGGCAGAGUGUACACUAGUGACUUUGAACCAAUUACGAAUCCAAAAUUUGAUGACACUUUUGAGAAGAACCUUAGCUCUGUACGGCAGGUGAAAGAAAUUAUCCAUCAAUUUAUUUUGGAGCAGCAGAAAGGAAACAGAGUGCCACUCUGCAUCAACCCUCAGUCUGCCGCAUUUAAAAGCUUUAUAAGUUUUUACAGCCAAAUUUGUUCUCGUUUUACUGGCACUGGAGCUGCUUUAGGAUAAAAUCAGCCUAUCCCCAGCAUUCAGCUGUAGGGAAGGUAUGUGGAAGCAGUGGUCUCUUUGUAGCAGUCCAGCAUGCCUCCUGUUCCACCGUUGCUCAGCCAUCUGAGAUGCCGCCAUCUCCACUGGUUUGGGAAUAAGUGUGGAAGACUUACUACUGAAAGUGUCCUGUAGCUUUCCACUGGAGUCUGGGAAUUGCAAUUCUGAAUUCUGAUAAUGCUUGUAUUGUCAUUUUCUUAAGAUUUAACUUAUCAACCACUAAAACGUAAAUCUAUAUUCUAUUUAAGACAAAUUGUGUUUUAGAGACUUUGAGUCUUAUAAAUCAGUGGUUGUUUUAUGGACUAAUUUAUCCCUGAAUUGCUUAAUUUAUAAAUGUUAAGCAGUUUUAAGGCUCAGAACAAAUUGACAAUUGCACCAAAUUUUGCAAAAUAAAUUAGAUUUUUUUUCUUUUUUUUUUUCUUGUAGAGGUCGGUUUGAAGUCUUUAAAUAUUAUUUUAUUUAUUUUUUAAUUAAAGAGUGCAAAUUGUUUUAUAUAUAUACUGAGCCAGCCAUUCCUAAAACCUCAUUUUUUGUUGAUACAAGCAAUUAUUAUGAGGAGUACAUACAUAUUGUCUGUCUGGAGACCAAUCAUGAAGUAAUUCCGAAAAAAAAA
Molecule: RNA transcript, 3065 nt
Organism: Rana temporaria (common frog)
Lineage: Eukaryota; Metazoa; Chordata; Amphibia; Anura; Ranidae
Gene: NLK
Gene name: nemo like kinase
Exons: 12
Source: RefSeq, a predicted model, not a curated record